Molecule: RNA transcript, 847 nt
Organism: Abrus precatorius (Indian licorice)
Lineage: Eukaryota; Viridiplantae; Streptophyta; Magnoliopsida; Fabales; Fabaceae
Exons: 6
Source: RefSeq, a predicted model, not a curated record
AUCUGUGAAUCCGAUAAUGGAUGCGUGGCUUAGAGAAGCUGAAGAAGCCUCACAGUGGGUAGAAGACUUAGAGAGCAAGGCUUUGAAUUCCAGUGUUAGUGUUAGCAUUAUACACUCUGCUCGAUCCAAAUUAUUGGAGCUUGGAGCCAAACUCGAUCGCCUUGAAUCGCUUCUGCGCAAUCCACCCCCCAAACCCAUCCUCCAAUUUACAGAACAGAUGAAGAUCUGGAUUUCCGUUGGACACUGUUUUCUGAUAUUCAGCUAAGAACCAGAACUUUGGCUCGCUCCAUUUAUGCAUUACCAUGCCCAAACCCAAACAGGCCAAGAAAUGUUUCUGCUACUGGAAGUAAAGAAUUCAAUGUCAGAAUUGACUAUUAUGACCAAGAUCUGUUGCAAACCUCCUACUCCCAAGGUCAAUCAGAGUUGCCCAAACCUCUUCUGUCAGAUGAGGCGAACAGAAUUCAGGUUCAACCAUUAAGUUUUAUCUCAAAGAUUUCCCUGUGGAAGGCUUGUUCUACUAUCUUAUUCUUCUUGGGACUGGCUGCACUUAUAUCCUUUGUUGUUCUUCUCUGCGCAGCCAUCUACCAUUCUACAAAUUGAAGGAUUAGAUCCUUUUCUGCUUUGAUCUGACGAUUCAAAACACCCGAAGAAGAAUCAUAAUGGUUGUUCGUAAACAUAUGUACAAAUAUUCCACAAACUUGGUUAUGUACAUAUAAUUUUUCAACAUAAUGGAUUUUAAAAGGAAAGGAAGACUCCUCAUGGGUGGGAUUACAUGUUUAGGCUUGCUUUGUUUAUUCAUGAGAACCAAAUUUACACCAUUAUAAUGGCAAAAAGUCACGGUUGGAAG